RNAcentral lists this long non-coding RNA (1257 nucleotides) under Felis catus (domestic cat). Its description in RNAcentral is "lncRNA (ENSFCAG00000052545.1)". The record is from RNAcentral. Lineage: Eukaryota; Metazoa; Chordata; Mammalia; Carnivora; Felidae.
AUGCUUGCACCCCCACUUGUAGUGGGACGGUGUUCAUGCGUGGACACUGCCUUCUAUCUGCGAGGGAGUGCGUUCUUGCUAUUGUCCCAGUCUCUCUGCACCGGAGGUCAUUCUCACCUCUCCCAAUCCCAGUUUUGUUCUGGAGUGUUUCACACAGUCACCCCGCCCUCUCAUGGUGUGGUAGGAUUUCAUGUACUGCCCCAUCCCUUUUUGGUGCAUGGGGUGGGUUCACACAUGCGACCCUCCAAGCCUUCUGCAGUGAUGGCAUCACCCAUGUCCUCGCCAAUCCUUAGAUUGGGAUUAGUGAUGCCAGUAUUAAAACUGAUGUUUCUCGAAUGGUUCUUUUCACUUUCACAGCUGAAGAAGCAGGCAUCUAUUAAGGCUUGCAUCUUCCCUCUACCUCUAUACUCCAAGUUCCUGGCUGGCACUGGAAUUACAUCCUUAGAAGGCGCAUCAUAACCUCCAGGUGAGGUGAAUAUGAUUACUCUCAUUUCUAAAAUCAACAAUCUGAAGCUCCAAAGAGAGUAGGUCAUAUUUCUGAGAUCAUAGUACUAGUAAGUGCUGUGUUUUUGAUAAUUCAUUCUAAUGGGCUCCAAAGCCCACUUUCUUUCAUCUACCACACUGUCCCCAAGAUGAACAGGGAAAAGCCAUACUUCAGCCUGAUAUAUUGUAGGCAAUGGUACGUGUAAAGCUGGUGUCACAUUUCAGAAAAUGGGGUUAAGUUUAGAAUCUGAGUAAUUAUACCCACAGUUUGAAUUUGAAUCUCACAUCCUUUUAUUUUUUACUGCUGCAAUUUCUGUUAUCUUUAAUGAUUAUCUAAAUGUAUUCUUCCCUUGGUAAAAUUUAGCCACUAAGAGUACUAAGAGAGUUUGUUUCCUUUGUAAGAGGUCAGAAUUAUACAAUGAAUUUAUAAUGUCAAGGCAAUAGCUUUUAUUUUAUCCUAAAAUAUAGAGGAAAAGGUCAUUGCCCUUGCUGUAAGAGUUUACCAUGUGUUAUUGAUAACAUGCCUGAGCUCUAUUGGUGAAAAACCGUUGUGGACUUUGAAAGUCAGUUAUUUAUAAUUAAGAGAGUAUUGUUCUCUCUUUGGGUGCAGCUGAUUGUUUAAAAUAGAACUUAGGAUUUUUCUGCAUAGAUUUUAUAUUUCAGAAUGAGCUUUGUUUUAAAAGGUAUGUUAUAUUUGCAUUCAUGCAAGUUGUGCAAUCAUUAAAUUGACAGGAAAGCAGCUGUUAAUAGUUGUCAUUUGGACAUGUAGAUGGA